GUCCUCAUAGCUCAGCUGGAUAGAGCAACGGCCUUCUAAGCCGUAGGUCGCAGGUUCGACUCCUGCUGGGGACG
Molecule: transfer RNA, 74 nt
Filed under: Planococcaceae bacterium Storch 2/2-2
Lineage: Bacteria; Bacillati; Bacillota; Bacilli; Caryophanales; Caryophanaceae
Also listed under: 2 other names
Rfam family: tRNA
About the family: Transfer RNA (tRNA) molecules are approximately 80 nucleotides in length. Their secondary structure includes four short double-helical elements and three loops (D, anti-codon, and T loops). Further hydrogen bonds mediate the characteristic L-shaped molecular structure. tRNAs have two regions of fundamental functional importance: the anti-codon, which is responsible for specific mRNA codon recognition, and the 3' end, to which the tRNAs corresponding amino acid is attached (by aminoacyl-tRNA synthetases). tRNAs cope with the degeneracy of the genetic code in two manners: having more than one tRNA (with a specific anti-codon) for a particular amino acid; and 'wobble' base-pairing, i.e. permitting non-standard base-pairing at the 3rd anti-codon position.
Source: Rfam by way of RNAcentral